UACGGAGUAGCACCUCAGUAACGCCAAUAAAUAAGCGUGGUGUUGCCCGCUGGAAGCCUGGAACGACAGUGUGGCAGCAGGACGCAGGACGGCAGGAGCAAGGCCGCCCCCGCCCUCGGCUCACAUCACAUAAUGGCGAUGGCGAGCAGCUGCAGAUCCAGAUCCGGAACCGGAACGGUGGUGCUGUGCUUUCUUGUGGCCUCUCUCGUCCUCGUCCUGGCCUCCUCCUCCGUUGCUUCAGCUGAAGCAGCGGCGGCCUACGGUACGUAGACUUGACGCAGCGUACAAUACAAUCACUUCAGCUUUCAUCCAAACAUAGAUAGCUUCACGGUGCUGCAUAUGUUCUUAUAUAUGAUCUGAAUACAUGCAUGUGUAAGCAUCGUCACAUCGGCUCUGCAGGUGCAGGCAGGAAGAUGAAGCAGAUCACAGCAGCAGGAGCUGUGGCAACGAAGCAGGAUAACUACCCUGCAACUAAUUUACCAGAGAGUUACCCGACGGCGCCUAUACCAAGGGGAUACCCGACGACUCCCCCUGGAAAAUGAAUUAGCUGUUGCCGCGCGGCCGAUCGAGAGAACCCUGCAGGCCGCAGCUAUAUAUAUGUGCAUGACACAUGCCGAUUACCAUUUCUGAAUUACAGAUGCAGAAAUUAGCUUGCGUUUAUACAAACCCAACCUCAUGUCUCGCACUCUCUCUCGCUACAUAAUUAUUAGCACCUAUAUACGCGCGUGCCUGUUACAGUGUACUACUAAGCUAUAUAUUCUGCACCUGUGUGUAUGCCUGUAAUUAAGCUAUAUUAUUGUUUGAAAUAAAAAUAAAGUCAGCUUGGGGCACAAAUAUUUUCAAUCGUCUGGAAUCAUCCUUGUCUUUUUCGUGAAAUCAUCGUGACAGUUUAUUACCACAUCUGAGUGACCGAAAAGUUUAGGAUGCUUUUGUUACUGUGCUUCCCAUCGAGAUCGGGUUAUCUCGGCUGGAUAUAUAGCAUAAAAGAAUCUGCUAAAUAUUAUUCAGUGAACUGAAAGAUCAGCUACUCCCUUCAGGAUUCAUGAUGUGCGCGCCCUGGAACAACUCAGAUUACUCCACGUACCAGCAAAACCAAAACGACACAGGUACAGGGUUUCAUCAUCCAUGGUAUGUAGGCUUGGAUCCCGAGAACCGCCAGCAUGUGAACUGUGGAGGAUAAGGUUGUGUCGCCCUUUCCUCGUUCAACAUGACCUAGGUGAUGUUAAAGAACCGAUCGAUCCAGGGCAGUGUGCAGCUGGUGGCUCGAAGCGUGCACCACUAGAAACAGUAUUUUGCUCACGUUUGAAUUUUUUUUCCCGUAUGUGGUUCAAAAGAGCAGACUUUAGUACAAACAUAUGUGUGGGUCCAUGGCUAUGAACCACCGGUAUAAAUCUAGGAUUUUCAUUGACAAUUCACCUCAGUCAUGUUAAGUUCCCACCCAAAAACUUUUCAUCUCAUCCCAUCGAUGUUUGGACACAUGCAUGGAGUAUUAAAUAUAGAUAAAAAAAUAACUAAUUGCAAAGUUUAUGUGUAUUUUGUGAGACGAAUUUUUUGAGUCUAGUUAUUUCAUGAUUGGACACUAAUUGCUAUACUUACAAAUAUAGGCACCCAGAAACUUUUAUUUUUUCGAACUAAACAAGGCACAGUAAACAAUAAGUGUAAAUUGAUUCUACGCAUAGGCUAUUAUCAUCUUAAGUUACAAUCAAACCAUUUUAUAUGUGUACCGCCUAUGUACAAACAUUCAUAGCUAGUGAUGGUUUUCCUAAUCUGCCACCUGUGUACAAUCAUCUCUGUAAAUACACUUCCUCCUCAGAAUUGUAGACACCUAGCCAUAUUUCAUUGAUGGCAUCCUUGAAGGUCCAAAAAUUGCAAAACACAGGAGUAGGUUUUGAUCUUGAUUUCUUUGAAGGAGGUUGCUCAAGAAUCAAAGAUGAAGCUUCUCUCCAGCCUCUCCGCAUCAAGGAUUCAGAUAGAGUCUUAGUUCGUCUUUGACUCGAUCGAUGCCUUGUAACUUUGGUUCUGCUUCAGAUUUGUACAGUGUCUGUACAGUACGAGUAUGUUUGGUUCGUUUUCUAUACAAGACUGGCUAGCAAAACUAAGUCAGGCUAUAGCAAAACUAAGUCAGGCUAGUCUAAGUCUGCCCCUAGCAAGACAAGACCCGUUUGUUUUGUUGCACGUGCUAAUGAACUUGGCUAGGAUGAGUUCAUGUUGUCUGGCUUAGUUUGCAUAUAGUCAUCUCUUUCACCCCUUUGAGACAUUUUCUCAAACAUGUGGUGGACACCUCGGCUAGUCAUCUUCCACGAGCAGGGGUGAGCAUGGCAAGCACAGCAAAGCCGCGUAGCACACUAGUAUACAGAGGUAGUGGUUCGUAACCCUUUUCUACAGGCGGUUUGGUGAACCGCCUGCCAUGAUGGCAUGUGGAGAAUAAUUUUUCCACAGGCAGGUAAUUGAGAACCGUCUGUAGAAAUUAUAUUUCUACAGGUGAUUCAGUUAUAUCAACCGCCCGUAGAAAUAAAUUUCCACAAAAGAUUCCAUUAGCCAACCGCCAGUGGAAACAUUAUUCUCGAAAAUAUAAAAUCGGCUUUUAAAAAUAGGGAAAAAAAUUAAUCAGCCUAGUCGCAUCGCGCAUCUUUUCAUGUAAAAUCGCACGCUACGCGGCCGACGAGAUUCGAACCCGAGAUCUCUCCCUCGCGUGUAGCAUCCUCUACCACUCUGCUAUGUUUAUAUUAGAGUUUAGUUCCCCACAUAUUAUCCUAAACCAAGCAUAUAUUGAUUAUUUGAGGCCCUAAACGGAUUCAAAUGAAAAAGUUGUCAACUACAAAGUUUCAUAGCUUUUUAAGAUCUGCAACUUUUAUAUUGAUAGUUUUCUCCAUCCGAGGUCAUUUAUAAAAUUUGAAUUUCAAAUUUAAGAAAUUCAAACGUAAUUUUCGACGAGAAGAUGAUUUCAAAUGAAAAAAUUAUCAACUACAAAGUUUCACAACUUUUCGAGAUCCACAACUUUCAUUUUAGCAUUUUUUCAAACGAGGUCAUUUGAAACGCUCAAAAAAUUAAAUUUCAAAUUAUUUCUAUAGGCGGUUUUCUUAAUAAACUGUCUUCGACUGGUUCGGUCUUCAUCAUUGACGUUUGAUGGGCUUGCGUGGAUGCAGCUAGAAGAAGUAGCUAUAGCAGAAUCGGGAGCAUGGAGCCAUAGAGGCAAGAAGAAGGUCUAGAGGUGGCAGAGCAUCCUCCUUCAAAGACGUGGAUCCCCUUCCCCACAACGAAUCUGGCCAUGGAAGCAGGGCAUACUCAACGAAUAUAUGUGCUCAACGAAUCUGCGCUCGAAGUCAUGGAAGUGAGUGAGCUGCCGGCGGUGGUUGAUGGUGGCCCAUUCGGCGAGGCCGGUGACAUGAAGCACGGCGAGGCGGAGGACGACACCAGGGAGGAAGGCGAGCACAACAAGGACCAUGGUGUGCACCAGGCUUCAGCAUCAACAUGCUUAGAGAUGAGAGGCGAGCAGGGCCUUCGUCGAGGCAGCAAGCAUGACGAGCAUUGCGGUGAAUGCUAUGGGGAGGAUUACGGGAAGAGCACUAGCAGGGCGGAGGAGCAUCACUACAGUGACCUAGGGGUGACGAGAAAGGAGGACAUGAUUGGCUCGGGCCUAGCUCCAGGAGAACGGUCAAUUCGACCGUUCGACCCUAGCCAGGCCCCAACAGUAGGGAUGGCUCUACUUGGCUAGACUCCAUGCCCAAUCCAACCAAUCAAAUAGCCAAAAAUUGGCCCCAGAAAGUCUAGUUUGAGCUACUCAACCAAACACACCCUAUAAUCUCUCCCCUCCUCCUCCUCCUCCCUUCUCCCACCUCUGUUGUAAGUAUUCCCUUAGACUUGUUCCGCUCCUUUUUGUUAUAAAAUUUCAGAUCCCCUGUGGGGCCAUGAGUUUUUUGUGUCAAAAAAGGUUGCUCAAGAAUGUUAGUUAAUGCCCAUUCUAAUAUAUCUUUUUGACUAAAUCCUCCAUAAUUUAUGGCAUCAUUAGAUUUAGUUUUCAUUUCAUGGUUCAUAUAUGGAGAGAGAAAUGAUGGUGUUUGGGUGUUCUAACACUAUAAUAAACAAAGUUUCUGUCCUAAAAUUGUUAUAUUUGGUAGCUUCACAUGCAUGUUUCUUCCAUUAUAUGUCUUCAAUUUCAUAGUUUAGCAAAUUUAUUUAUUAAAAUAGAUUAAUUAAUUACCCAUACAUAUAUGCUAAAUUAUGUGUUAUUGAUUUCAGUGUUAAUUCAAAUGAUUACAAUAAGUAAUAAACAUGCAUAUUUCUAAGAAAAAUGGAUUAAAAUAUUCAACUAUAUAUUAAUGUAUUUUUUAUUUGAUUUGAUUAAUCACUAUCAUCUCAUAAAUACACUAGCUCUUCAAAUCAUGAGAAAUGUACAGACCUAGCCAUAUUCCGUUGUUGGCGUCCUUGAAGGUCCGAAAAUUGUAAAAUACAGGGGCAUGUUUUGAUCUUGAUUUCUUUGAACGAGGUUGCUCAAGAAGGUUAGUUAAUGUGCAUCCUAUGUCCUUUUGAAAGAAUGCUCCAUAAAUUGUGACCUAAUUAGAUCAAUUUCCAUGGUUCAUGUACGGAGAGAAAUGAUGGUGUGUUUGGGUAUUCUAACACCAUAAUAAAUAAAGUUUAUGUCCGAAAAUUAUUAUAUUUGGUAGCUUCUCAUGUCUAUUUCAUUAUAUAUCAUCCAUUUCAUAAUUUUUGGAUCAUACAUGCAUAAAUUAUAUGGAUGAAAUCUAUAUUCUAAAACUUAGCACUAUUAGAGAAGUUGGCUUAGAGCUAGUACCUAGCUCUAACCACUGCGGAUGCCCUCAAAGUACUAUAAAAAUAUAAUAUUAUUCUAUGAAAAAAUGCUACCGGCCCCAAGUCAAAAUUCCUUCAGAGUUGACCAGAACCAUCAGAACAAGUGGGCAUCCAGAAUUUGUGUGGGUGUUGCGUCCUAAACUACUAAAAAAUUUCUCUUAGAUGGCAUCACUAUUUAUUGAAUGGAGGCGAGCACUAUUUUUUACUGCCUCUAUUAUCCCCAAGUUCGCCAACACUGAGCGACCGCCUUGGUCAACAGUUAACGGAGGUGGUCGCCUUAAUGUAAGCACCUCAGUUAGUUACUAAUUAACCUAGGCAGUCGAAUUAAUACAAUUGUCUCCAAAAAUGAUGCGGCCGUAUUAAGAAGCUUGCCUUCAUAAAUAAAUUUUCGGAGGUGAACAUACUAUAAGGCCCGCCUCCGAAAAUACUAAGGCCCAAAGGAGCAAUAUAUAUAUAUAUAUAUAUAUAGAGAGAGAGGGGUAUACUAUUAGGAGCUUAGGGCUCCUAAUAGUUAUUAGAAGCCCUAGUCUAAUGUGUGCUUUCUGGUUCCACCAAACCAGGUACAGCCCACUAACCCAUCCAACAGUCCACCAGGUCCAAUAUAUAUACCCCAAACCCUAAUCCCACCCAUCCAGCCACCCUAGCCGCCGCCACCCCCAACCACCCCGUCGCCUCUGCUCUGCUCUCCUCUGAGAUGGCCCUGCAGGUGCAGGCCCAGUCGUCUCUCCUCGGCCGGUUCGCGGCCAUCACGGCCGGGUGCAGCGAGGUGGAGCCGUGGGCGGCCGUCGUCUGCGGGUUCGUGUCCGCGUGGGUGCUCAUCAGCGCCAACGCGCUCGCCGCGCGCCUCAAGUUCGACGACCCGCUGGAGGCGGCGCAGCUGCACGGCGGGUGCGGCGCCUGGGGCGUCCUCUUCACGGGCCUCUUCGCGAGCCAAAAGUACGUGGAGCAGAUCUACGGCUCCGGGAGGCCCUACGGGCUGUUCAUGGGCAGCGGCGGGAAGCUCCUCGCCGCGCAGAUCAUCCAGAUCCUGGUGAUCGCCGGGUGGGUGAGCUGAAGCAUGGGCCCACUCUUCUACGCGCUCAAGAAGCUGGACCUGCUGUGCAUCUCGGCCGACGACGAGAUGUCCGGCAUGGACCUCACCAGGCACGGAGGUUUCGCCUACAUCUACCACGACGAGGACCCAAGCGACAAGGCCGGGGGUUGGUGGGUUCAUGCUCAAGUCCGCGCAGCACCGUGUCGAGCCGCCGGCGGCGACAGCGACCAGCAACCAGGUGUAAAAAUCAGAAGCAAAUUAAAACCUAUCGAGCUGAAGUUACGUGCUUGCCUUUUUCAGUGUGUCAUCGCGUAUUCAUAUUUGAUUUUGAUCUCGAUCAUAUCUGCCGGUACUGUUUGGGCAAUACUUCGCCACUCUUCGGAGUCGCAAGAAUUUGUGUAAAUUAUUAGAAAGCUGUCCACUAGUUGAUAAAUGUGAAGAAUGGUUUACAGAUAUUCUUGAAUAUUAACCCUUUUAUUUUUGUAUAGUUUUUACACUGAUUUACUACUGCAUGUGGUGGAUUAGUUUGGAUCUAAAGUGUUCAGUAGUAAAGAUUACGGACUACUUACUACUACAGUUCUGGUUUGGUGAUUACUACUUUCUCCAGAGAUUAUGGUCGAUUACAAUUGACUUUUAAAAUCGAUUUUUUUUUCUAUGCUUGAUGAGUUAGCUUUUUAUGCGUUCAAUUCAUGUGUGUAAUGUGAUUUUAGCUGGAGUUGCUCUUAGAAAAGUAUCUAGUCGGUUACUUUGCUUGCAUGCAUAGUUUUCUACGCAUGGUGAGACUGUGUUUUCAGGCCUCAUUAAAAACUUAUAUUCAUAUUUCUAUGCACCCACUCGGCCAUUUAGGGGGAGCAUUCUAGUCAUCUAGGCUUGGUCUCGGGCUCGUAUCGGUCUGAUCCACUCUUGACUAUGUGUUCUAUGCUUCACGAGUUAGGUUGUUACACAUUCAAAUUCACUCUUCACGAGUUAGGAUUCUAUGCAAUUCAUUUUCAUGCAAUUUUGAAUUUUGGAUGUAAAUUUCUAAUUACUUACCUCCACUAAGCUUUCUAUGCUUAGAAGUAAUAAUAUGUCGUGGGUAGUGGCUGCUUGCCCCAUGACAUCCGAUAUAUUUGUUGGUCUCCCCAGGCCAUCCAUCUGAGCUAUAGAAUGAACAACAAGGUCAAUUUAAAAUUUAUUUCUCCAUUCAUCUAUAUCGGAUGCUUCUAAAUUUUGACGGAUUAUUCUAUGCACGGUUACAUUUCUAUACGUAUACUCAACUUUCUGUGAUUUUAUCACUAGUGUUUUUAUGCUUCUAGUGGCAAGGUUCUAUGUGUUGUUACAUUUCCAUAUGUAGAAGCAUGCAACUCAGUGCGAUAAUCUAGUGGCAAGGUUUAUGCAGAAUUUUAUAUACAUUAACAGAUCAUAUUUUAUAUAUUGUUGGAACAUAAUUUUAUACAUUAUUCAGGUAUAUUUAUAUAUAAUGUUGGAUCACAUUUUUAUACAUGUUUCUAUAGUUUUUAUGACAUGCAUUCUUUUGGAUGACUUCUAUACAUCACUAGAUGAUACAAAAAUGCAGUCCACAGCCGCGGUGUUAGUAUGAAGCAGCGGUGGCGGUUGGUGGCGUGUAGUUCACGGCGGCGGCGCUAGUGCGACUCAGUGGUGGUGGUCGGUUCGAUGGAAGAUAGCAAAGGAGCAGCACGACGCGACCAGGGAUUUUUGCAAUUUGUUUGUUGAAUUUUAGUGUUCUUAUGCUUGUGUGCAUAAGUUUCGAUACACAUAAUGGAGCACUUCUAUACAUUUUUGUAUUCUUAAUGCUUGUGAGUAUAAGUUUCUAUACAUUGUUGGAGCAGGUCUAUGUUGUUUUUAUGCGAUAAUAAAUUCACUUUUUAUUCAUCAAAUUACUAAAUUCUAUGUAAUGCCGGCACAAAAAAUAUUUAAGUGUAUCUUGAUCACUGAAUUUAUGAAUCCGGUCGUCUAUCACGUGCUAUUUUUUCAAAAUUUUAAAUUUUCGAGAAGACGAGAUCGUCUUUAUGUUUUAUGUGUGCGGUUCUCAUGGUCUAUGUGUUUCUAUACAUUGUUUCCUAUAUUACUUAUGCAUCCUCUCUAGAGAGCAAGGUGUGGUUGGACGCGGUCACGAUUUUUCAAAUCAAUAAUAUGCAGAAGGGAAGGUUUUUACGCGACAAUGAAAUUAUUCUUAUUCACCAAACCACUAAUUUCUAUGCAACGUUGGCGCCAAAAACUUUUCUACGCAUUUUGACUAUUUGAUUCUAUGCAUCUAAUCGUCAUCACGUGCCAUAAUUCAAAUCACGGUUGUGUCGGAUGAAAUGUCCAUCUCGCGGCUUUAGAUGGUAACAAAAUUAAUUUUUAUUCAUUCAACCACUAACUUCUAUGUAACGUCAGCACCAAAAAUUUUCUGUGCAUCUUGGCCAUUGAUUUUAUGCAUCCAAUCGGCCAUCACAUACCAUGAUUCAAAAGUCAAAGUUUAGAGGAAGACGAGAUCAUCUCCAUAUUUGACACGUCCAGUCUCUAUAUUUUAUAAAUUGUUCCUAUGUUAGUUAUACACCCUAUAGUGAGGAGCAUGAUAUUGGUGGAGGCAAUUACAGUUGUUUCGUGAAAUAUCUAUCUCGCAAAGAAGUUUUUAUGCGAUAACAAAAUUAAUUUUUAUUCACCCAACAACUAAUUUCUAUGCAACAUCGACGUAAAAACAUUUUUACGCAUGAUACUUGAUUCUACGCAUCCAAUCGGCCAUCACGUGCUGUGAUUUCAAAUUUAAAAUUUAUGAAUUUUAAAUUUUUUCAAAAAAAUAUUCACAAUGGAUCUUGAAUCAUGCACAAAAAUAUCAGAAGUUUAAUGGUGAAAACCGUUUUUGAAUCGAAAGCUUCAUUGAGGAAUUAUUAAGAAAAAAUGGACGAGAUUAGAAUGGAUGCAUAUAUGACUGCAUGUGUCAGCUUGUGUCAGUACGUGUCAGGUGCAGUUAGGUGGAACGACUAACUCGCAGAAAGGUUUCUAUGCGGUAACGAAUUGAUUUUAAUUCAUGCAACCACUAGAUUUUAUACAUUGUUGGAAUAAAAAACUUUCUGCGCAGUCUGACCUAGGAUUUUAUGCGUUCAAUUGGUUGGGACCCCAAGGGGUCCACCAUCUGCGCGCAUGUCAACUUCGUAGUGGGUUAGGUGGGAUGGCUGGCUGGGGCUUCCAAUAGCUAUUUGUAGCCCUGGGCUCCCAAUAUACCAGCCCUAUAUAUAUAUAUAUAUAUAUAUAACCCUAGUUCACUUUAUUCACCCUCAGAAGCGCCUCAACCCCAUGUGGUGCCCUUAGCUUUGCCCCCUCUCGCGCGACUCUGUCACCCUCUGUGCCCCCUACGUUGCUCGCACCUCCCUCUCCUCUCCUCCCCAUUCAGUGCACGUGCCCCCUCUAAUCUGUGUUGUGUGGCGCUUGUGCCCCCUCUCACUGUCUACCUCUUGCGCAUGGAGCACGGUAGCCGGUGGUAGCCCUCUCUGUCUCUCUAACACGGAGCAUGGUGGCUGGCAGUGGCCCUCUCUGUCUCUCUUGCAUGUGGAAUGGUGGAUCCCAAUGCCCGAAGGACCACAGAGGUGGAUCCCGGUGGCCACCACCAUAUCCAGCGAGGAUGAGCCUGAUCCAGCAGCGACAUAGCUCAAACAGCCAAACCCUAGUGGUCAGAGGAGAACGAAGGUGGAUCCCAAUGGCCACCACCAAAUUUGACGAGGAGGUACUCGGAUCCGGCGAGGAGUAGCCUGAUCUGGCAGCGGCAUAGCUCCAACGGCUGAAUCCCGGCAACUAGAGGAGCACGGAGGUGGAUCCCGACAGUCACCACUAGAUCCGCCGAGGAGGAUCCUGAUCCAACGGUGGGCGGGCAGAUCCGUGCGGUGUGUGCGGUUCUGCGAGGAAGCAAGUGCCAGUGAAUGGUGGCGGUGGUGGGGGCGCAUGGAUGGGCUCACGGGGCCCGUGGAUGGGCUUGGUGGGCUCAGGUUUUUCUUUUUUAUUAUUAUUAUUUUUGGUCGAUUAACCAAGGUGAGAAAGGCAAUUGCCUCCGUUAAGCCUCUAUUAGCCAAGGCCUUUGAUUGGAGGCGGUUGCAAUGCCCAUCUCCAUUAACCCUUUUUGCCCACCUCCAUAGAAUACUACAGUAGUGGGCCAUAGGCCAUAUAAUGUGUUGGAGUUCCUUAGCAGCGUGAAUAGGGUCCUUUAUUGGCCACCCCUUAAACUAUAUAUUUAGUAGCCAAUCCUUAAUUAGGGUUUAUAUUUUGCUUAGACUAAUUCAUGAUCGAACAGUUUCAUUUGCCAUAUAUUGUUUUGUGGAACCCCAACUUCUGAACUUCAUAUAAAUCUGCAAUAUUUUUCCAGUUCACACGCAUGGAUAAGCCUUCUAAGUGGCUUCAAUUGGGAAUUGCAUAGUUGAUAACUAGUGAAGACAUAGUGCUAAAGGUACAGGUCUAGGUUGUUGUGAUGCAAACCCACAGUGUACAGUAGAAACAGUGAGCAUGUAUCUUGUCUGCUCUAGUUGUACCCAACAGUCCUGUAAAAACACUUCAGUUUAGUCCUUGUUUAGUUCUUAAAAAUUUUCAAGUUUUUCUAUCACAUCAAAUAUUUGAACGUAUAUAUGAAGUAUUAAAUAUAGAUUAAAAAAUUACUAAUUGCACAUGUGAUUUGCGAGACGAAUUUUUUUAAGCCUAAAUAGUCCAUGGUUGGAUAAUAAUUACCUAAUACAAACGAAAGUGCUAUAAUAACCAAAUCUAAAAAAAUCAUAAACUAAAUAAGGCUUUAGGCUAAUUCUGUUCGCCUAGCAAUAUUUCUCUCAUAAUAAAUCAACGAUUUCGGAGCUUUUGCGAACAGACCUGUCCUACGCUUGUCUUGACAGCGAUCAUUAUGUGCCUAGACUAGACGCGUGACUUUUGCCAACAUGAGCAGUAGUAGUUGUCUACAGCUAGAUUCUUCCUGUUGCACAUACCAGCCGGUCCAGCCCAUUCAAAGACAGUAUCACACCGACACUGACUGAAACAGAGCUCCUUGUCCUUGGAUGUCACGGGGAAUUCUCGGUUCUGAUGAUAUUGAUUUGUGCUUUAUUUCCACACGUUACUAUGUUUGUAAUGACUUUUUCUCUCGAAGUAUUAUCAAUGUUGCCGAGACAAUUUCACGGGAUACAUCAUUUAAGCGGUCUCAAUGCUAAGUUUCAUCUUUCAGUUUCUAAAAUAUGAAACUUUGAGAUAAAAUUAAUCUAUUUCUCAGUGUAUAGUUUUAUUGCAUAGUUUUAUAGAUUAUUUUUAGUCUGUUGUGGGUUCCAUCGUCACUCUCUUUUCUCUCUUUCCUCACCGACGCCAUGGCCAAACACCGCAAUAUUGUUCCGCUCUGUGGCUACCACGAAGCAACGCACUUCAACCUCCUCAUCUAUGAGCUGAUGCCCAACGCGAGCCUGGACCAGGUGCUGCAUCUACAUGCGAACCACCAGUUCUGCCUCCUCGGUAGGCUUCCUCGCUGUAGAGCCACGCGGAGGGGCUCGGCGGCCGGAGGAGCCCGCGGCUGAGCUCGUGAAGCCCACGGCAGUGGAGCAAGCACCCACGACAGCGGAGCUCGCACGCAUAGAGCAGGCACCCGCGACGCCUCACCCACCUCCGGCGGUUUUCUCACGACGAAGGUGCACGCCUGACAGUCUCGUUUGCAAUAGAGGCGCGCCCCGCAGCUUUGCCCGCGCCCAGCAGGUGUGCUCGUGGCGGAGGUGCCUCACCUAUAUCCGGUGGCCUCACUAGAGGCGGAGAUGCACCCGACGGCCUCGCCCGCUUCUGACGAUGGCAAGCUCGCUGUCCUCGUACACGAAGGAAGAAGAAGCUGCGAUGAAACGAACUGAGGCUCUCAACGCGCAUUUCACACAGUUUCUGAGUCCUUGGAAACGCCGCUGGGUCGUUUCAAUGGGAUGAAACGAUUCCUUCUCUCUUUGCUCUCACUCUGCUCUAGUUUCAUGCAAAAACUCCAAAUUUACUGAUGUGGCAUCCUAUUUAAUAUGCAUGAAAUUCCCUAUGAAAUUCCAUUGAGACUAGCCUUAGGCUCAGUGUAGGUUUUAUAGCUUAGUUUUCAAAACAUCCAUAUUUUAGAAACAGUACAGAAAGUUUUAACUCUUAUCACCUCUCUAUUCAUUAAUACGGUGGUCUAACAUGUUCUUAAUGUAAUCUCUCUCCCCUGCCAUCCUGUAACUUGAAUUCGCUAGGACACUCUCAUACAGACUUAGCAUAAUUUUUAUGGUCAUUUAUUACCUUGCUAUUUAUUAAGUUUUCCUGACGUGGCAUUGUAUUUAUCGAAAAAAGAGAAAAAAGAGCAAGAAACGAAGUCUAAGUUAGACGCGAUGUCUACAAGGUAUCGAGGCAGAAGAAACCACACUCGUUCUCAUUGCGUAAGCAGUGGUGGACCCAGGAUUUGGUUAGGACUAGGACCAAAUUCUAGUAGCGAAAAGCCAAAAACUACACUGUUGUUUAUAUAAUCUAUGUAUAAAACUUGUUAUUACAAAGAAAAUUUUUUAGAUCAGAAAUUCUCCAACUACAUAUUGCCAUACAAUUUAUAAGAAUACAACAUUGAACUACAAAAAUAAAUACUUAGCAAUAACAAGAAUAUAACAUUGAACUACAAAAAUAAAUACCUAGCAAUGAUAUGCUACAUUCGCAUUUUCAUGUCCUUUUCAGUAACGCCUAAAUCUAGACACAAGAUGUGAGAGUUAAUUAAUUAAAAAAGACAAACAAAAAAGUAAGUUUACUGUAGUUAAAGCUAUUGGGCUAAGGCCAUGUUUAGUUGGAGAAAUUUUUUGGCUUUGGCUACUGUAGCACUUCGUUUGUAUUUGAUAAUUAUUAUCCAAUUUUGUAGACUAAUUAGGCUCAAAAGAUUUAUGUUGCAAAUUAUAGGCAAACGGUGUAAUUAGUUAUUUUUUAUAUCUAUAUUUAAUUCUUCAUGCAUGUGUCUAAAGAUUUGAUAUGACAAAAAAAUCUUCAAUUUUUUUGAAAAUUAAACAAGGCCUAAACUCUGAUAAAUUAAUAAGACAAUGGUCCAGAAAUUAAAGAGUUAUACCUAGAAUAUCUAGUCUACCACAUAGUAAAGCACAAAUCAAUAUCAUCAGAACCGCCAAUGGGCGGAAGAAACCAUGCCUGUCCACGUUGGGGAAGAGCGGACCGAGCCAGAAGAAACCACGCCCGUCCGUGUUGGGGAAGAUGACGGUAGUUUCCAUCGAGCAUGCAGAUCCCAUGCGCCUUCUCCCAUUCUCCCAAUGAUUAUUUCAUUAAGAAUAAACAUAAAUGUUAUUUGUCACCAUAUAUAGUUUUAUAGUUUUUCGACCAAGAAAAAAAAUCCAAGUAGCCGUUCAUUUUAAUAAAUAUAUGUUAAUGAUUCAUGCUAAUAAAUUACAAAUGUAAAUUAUACGUUUUGAUUGAAACAUAUGAUAUAUCAAUACUAGGAAUUUAGAGCCUAUUUGCUUGUCUAAAAAAUUAUAGCUGAAAAUAUUAUUUGCUAAUUUAUUAUGAGAAAAAAACACUGUUGACUGACAGAAAAAUACGGCUUAUAAAAAAAACGAAGUCUUAGUUCUAACACUCUCAUUUUUGUAGAAUAAUAUUAUAUACUUAAUAGCACUUGGAUAACCGAAACUCACCAUCUUGAGCACUAUAGGUCAUAUAGGAUGUGAGCUGAAAUGACUGUUUGUACCAUUAAAUUAACAAAGAGCAUGGUCUACGAGACAGUCAAAUUUUUGACCCAAAAAAAUAUAAAAGAAGUUUUGAAUAUAAAAUUAAUACAACAAUAAUCAGAGUUUGAACUCACACAAACAUAAAAACUAAUGAUCUAAAAAAUGGAAACUAAUAUAUAUAGACUUAUAAUGUCACAAAAAUAACGCAACAGACCAAUUAUAUAAUUUAAGCUAUGUUUUUCAACUAAAUACAUAUUAAAAACCAAUGAAGAUGUAAUACUCCCUCCAUUUCAAAUUUUAAGUCAUUCCAAGAAUCGUGUAGAGUCAAAGCAUUUUCAAGUUUGACCAAAAAUAUAGAGAGAAAUAUAAAGAUUUAUGUCAUAAAAUAGAUACACUAUACAAAUAUAACUAACAAAGAAUGUAAUGAUACUUGGUUGGUACCAAAAAUAUUAUUAUUUUACUAUAUAAAUUUGGUCAAAUUUGAAAAACUUUGACUCUCUAAGAUUCUUAGAAUGACUUAUAAUUUGGGACGGAGGGAGUAGAAAUGAUCAAUACAUAACAUAGUGUAGUUGGUACAACUAUCACGAGUGGAUAAAGUGUAUACAAGUGGGUAUAUUGUUUAAAAUAUGAAUUGAGUGUGUAAACAUAAUUGAUUUCGUCUAGUUGUACAAGCAUGCAGCAGGCUUCAGGAGUUCUUGGGCUGGGGCACAAUGGUACAUCUCCACUCCCGUGGGCCAACGUCCCAUGGGCCCAUCAUUCUUUGCGGCCCAGCCUCCGCAACACGACACUCGGAGGCCCGAGCGUGGAAGUGUGGAACGCAGGCGGCGGCGGCGGCGCUCGCAGGCUCGGCGCCUCGUUGGUUCGCCGGCUCCCUCAGGCUCCCAGUCCCGCCCUCCAGGUUGAUGUUUUCCUCAUCCACUUCCACGCCACCACACUUUCGCCUCCCCUUGAUCUGCUCUGUUUGGCCCCCGCUGCCAUGCCGCCAUCAGUCUGUCACCGUGUGCCCGUCAGUCCGCCAUGAGGAGCAUGUCGUCACAAGCUCAGCAAGUCCGGCGUUCGGGCCCUUCUAAAGAGGUGCGUUGUCCAUUACCUAAUUAACUUCUCCCGUACUUAGCUGGUGACGUGAUGUGUCAUGGUGCUCUCUAGGUGCUUGUUGAAUUGCCUGUGAGUGAGUAAAAAAGGUGUGUCCACUGUCUUGCCUGUGAGUAAAUCCUACCCUGUAUAGCAAUGAUGUGGCCUGUAAGAGAUCGCAGUCUAAGUUCACCCUAGCUUUAUUCUUGGGCAGGGUCCCCCACUGAUGCAAUGUAAGAGUUUAAACAGUGGUGGAGCACAGGUUCAUGAACUAAUUUCUCUGAAUCAAAAAAAAAAGUCCAAACCACAUGCCAAAUGCAUAUAUAGUUUGGUUGAACACCAAAUAUUUUCAUGUAGUUUACUGGAAUUAGUUCACAUUUAGCUAACAAGAUAUGAAGAUUUUCUCCACUCUCCAAGUCACAUUUGUUCCCAGCAAACAUAUAGGGAUACAUUCAGUGCAGUGAAAAAAAUAUUGGCAUAAAUCUUUUUUAAAAAAGCACCAUGAUCAUUAUUUCAACGUAGCAUUGCACCAUGAUUACUAAGGAUCCAGUUGGCUGAGCUCCCAAAGUAGGUUUCCAUCUGAAUUCAGAAACCUUUGCUACACACACACACACAGAGAGAGAGAGACAAAAAAAAACCCUCACUUCUGACUCACUUAUCGCAUGUAAUCAUUUUUUUACAUAUAGUUUAUCACAUAUAGAGAAUGCAAUGUGAACUUUCAGGUAGAGAAUCACUUCUCGAAAGCAUAGAAUUAGAAGCAUAGGGAGCUCUAUCAAAACAGGCACUAAAAGUUAUUGAACUAUGUGUUGAUAUAUUUUUUAACUCUGAAUACACAUCUGGAUCACUUGGCACUUGGAUUGUAUUCCAUGGAGAUCAAUACGAUCACGUACCUUCCCACCUCCAUUGUUACCUUUACCCAGCCAAACUAACACAAGCGGCCCUGAUGGAGCGCAACUCGGUGGCCGCAUCCUUCAUGCUGAGCCUCUGGAACGGCACUGCCCGCGUGCAGCUGAGCCCCACCCUCACAGCGGAGACCAGGCACUUGUGCUCUGAGAUAUGUGCACCGCCAUCGUUGGAGCCACAGGACACUUGGCCAUCAAUCCCUUCAACCAACAGAAGCGCCGGGUCAAGGACAUGCUCGAUCUUGUCUGGGAAUGACGCGGCAACGAACUCCAACAGCGUCAGCCCGUCCUUGAACGCGUCAUCUGUUGGUGACCUCCCAGUGAAGAUCUCCAGCAGUGUGAUCCCAAAACUGUAGACGUCGCCAUAUGUUGACACCUUCCCUGUCGUGCCGUACUCUGCACAGCACACAAAUUAAAGCAGGGUUGACACUGUCAUGUCAAUAUAUGUCUGGCACACAAGAUGUUGGAGUUACCUGGCGGGAUAUAUCCAAUCGUGCCUCUCAAACCACCUGUGCUUGUGGUGCUGCAAGUGUCGUGGCUCCCCGGCUCAAGAAGUAGCUUUGCCAGGCCGAAGUCACCCACCACCGCCCUCAUGUCGUCGCUGAGGAGAACGUUGCUGGGCUUAACAUCACAAUGGAUGAUCUGUGGUACGGAGUUGGUGUGGAGGUAGCACAGCGCGUCGGCGAUGUCCACGGAGAUGUUGAGCCUUUGGAUUACACUCAGGUUUUUCAUGAUCUUCAACUCUUCAGACUUGGGGUUCAUGUUCAACCACCUGUCUAGGCUGUAAUUGGGCAUGAACUCGAACACCAGGGCUCUGAAAUCGUUGCCCCUCGCAUCCACGCUGACACAACAGGUGAUUAUCCUGACAAGGUUCCGGUGCCGGAUGUUCCGCAGCGCCUCGCAUUCCGAUACAAAUGUCUUGGAGGCACCAAUCUGACAGAGGUCGAACACCUUCACCGCCACAGCGACCUUGUCGGGCGCUGAAGUACCCUUCAGUAGCAGGGGCAGGGUGCCCAGGUACACGGACCCAAACUUCCCUACACCAAUCAGGUUGGUGUCUGCGAAGCUGUUGGUCGCUUUGUCCAGUUCAGCGUAUGAUAUUCUCUGAUAGUUCAUCUCGUCCAGGACAUCAUCCAGCGUUGCAUCAUCAUCAGUUUUAAUUGCUUGUCCCGGCCUUUUCCUGUACCACUGGAACAUGCUGAGGAGUAUGGCCAAGAAGAGAGCGAUGCUUAGGACAGGCACCACUAUCUGGAGAAGCCAGCGAGUAGGGUGUGUGUUCCUGGCUGCUGGACACCGGGGCAGGUCGAGCUCCGGGAUGCCACCACAGAGGUUGGCAUUCCCUGUGAUCUUGAACCCGGAAAUGUUGGUGAAUAUGCCGCGGAGCGGUACACUGCCAUCAAGGUUGUUGUAAGAUAAGUCCAGCUCGAUCAGGGAGGUCAGGUUCUCCAAUUCCUCUGGAAUAGUUCCUGUCAAGUCGUUUCUGGACAGGUACAGCUCCUGCAGGCCGGACAUCUGGCUGAGGUCCGGUGGGAUGCUCCCUGACAGCCUGUUGCUCGCUAAGUUGAGCCUCCUAAGACCCUUGAGCUUGCUCAGCGACGGUGGGAUGCUUCCGUCGAAGAAAUUACCAUCCAGAUCAAGAAACUCCAGGCUCUUGCAGUUGUCCAGCUGUUUCGGCAGCUGACCGGAGAAUUGGUUCCCGGUCAAUACUAGCUGGGCAAGGUUGGUGAGGCCGGAGACAUCAGGGGGAAGUGGGCCGUCCAAUCGGUUGUCAGACAAGUCCAUCACCAAGGACAAGGACACCAGACUGAAGAUUUCCCUUGGCACGUGGCCAGUGAGGGCAUUGCCCGAGAGGUUGAGCGAUGUUAGGCGGUUCAGGUUGCCUAGAGUGUGAGGAAUGGAUCCAUUCAGCGUGUUACUGCUCAGAUCAAGUUGGAGCAGCUGGGUGAGGUUGCCGAUGGAGGAUGGGAUUGGCCCGGUUAACCUGUUCCCCUGCAUCCCCAACUCUAUGAGGUUCUUGAUAUUCCCAAUCCCUUCCGGGAUGGUGCUGUUGAAGAGAUUGGAUUCAAGGUCCAACAAUUGCAGCCGACGAGGUUGCCGAUACCCGGUGGAAUCGGCCCUGAUAUGCGGUUGUUUCCCAGGUAGAUCGCUUGAAUCUCCCUCGAGAGGCGGCCAAUGGAGCUUGGCAACUCGCCACCGAGCUUGUUGUUGUCAAGGGCAAGGCCCUGCAGGUUGCUGCAGUUGGUAAGAUGGUCCAGGAACUCCCAGCCUUGAUCGUCGCUCGCCGUUAGGUGGUUACCCGACAUGUAGAGCCACUGGGGGCAGAGCAUACCGAUCUCGGGAGGCACCUGCCCAGUGAAGCUGUUGUUUGCUAGGCUGAGCCACGUUAGAUUGGAGGCCUUGGCAAGUGCCGCGGGGAUGGGGCCUGUCAGAUUGUUGCCACCAAGGUAUAGGCCCCUGAGAUUGGACAUGCGCGCGCCCGCGUCCGGCGGGAGGACACCAUGGAACGCGUUGUUGGUGAGGGCAAGAAACUGGAGCGACGACAUGUUGAAGAAGCCGGGUGGGAUCUCUCCUUGCAGAAGGUUCUGGUAUGCGCUGAACGUCUGGAGGGAAGGAAGAUCCAUGAGGCCAAGGGGCAGGCUGCCUUGCAGGUAAUUCUCAUCGACCCUGAGGGCCUGGAGCUUCGUGAGGUUGCCGAGCGACGGCGGGAUCUUGCCGGACAGGGAGUUGAGGUGCAGGUACAGGUAGGUGAGGUUGGGAAACGUCCCGAGCCACGUAGGGAUGGCGCCGGUGAGGCUGUUGUUGUUGAGGUAGAGGAAUCUGAGGCUGGUGCAGCUGCGUAGGCUUUCUGGAAUCUCCCCACUGAUGCCGAUGUUGUCGCAGAGGUCGAGGUACUGUAGGCGCCGCAGACUGCCGAUGCUAUCCGGGAUGGUCCCGGAGAGCUGGUUCUUCUCGAGGACGAGGUACUCCAGGUAUGUAAGGUUGCCGAUGGCAGGGGAGAUGGUGCCGGUGAGCCCAAGGCUGGAGACGUUCAGCGACGUGACAUGCCCGUCCGUGCACGCCACGCCAGGCCACCGGCAGAAGUGCGAUGUGCUGUUCCACGACUGGAGAGCACCAGACGACGACGCGCCCGACACGCCAGCCCUGAACGCCUGCAGCGCGUCCCGCUCGAUGUUGGAGUGGGACCGCUGCACGCCUGCCGCUAACAGCAACAUGAUCAGCAGCAGAUGCAGCUGCAGUGCGUGCGUUCCAGACGUGCGUGCGCCUGCCAUGCUCUCACGGUCGGAUGCCCAGGCGCGCACAGCGCAGGUCAUCUUGUGUGAGAUUCUGCGUGGUUUCUCCUUUCUAAUGUGUGCUAAUGGCAAGGCCUUGGCAUGUGCAGGCUUAUAUGGGUGUUGUGGCGGGAAGCUGCUGCUGAUGAUGAUGAUGAGUACAAACAGAGAGCAUGCAUGUGUGUCUGCUCUUGUUUCAGAGUUGUGCUGAUCGAACAGUCCUGCAACAACUCUUCAAUUUAGGCAGGUGACUUCGUCCUACACUUGUCUUGACAGCGAUCAUUACGUGCGUAGACUUGACUAAGUGACUUUUUCUAAGUGACUUUUUCCACAUGAGUAGCGGACUAAAGCUAGACUGUUCUUGGUGUCCAUUAUUGUUUGACAAUUUUUCUUCAUGGUGAUUUGACAUACCAGCCAAUUCAAACACAGUAUGGCACUGACGACACGGACUGAAACCGAACGCGGAGUUGAUGGCGGUGGUAAUUCGGUUAUGAGGAUAUUGUCCUUUGAUCGUUCUUGCUGACUUUGCUCUUUACGUAUCAAUCCAGAGGACUGACUGGCUGAGCAUAUAUGCUGCACAUAUUUCCAUAAUUGUGCUGGCUUUUCCUCUGCAGGGAUUCUCAAGUCUGCUGAGGCAAUUUCCUGGGUUCCAUCGUGUGUCUCCUUGCUGAGCUAGAAGUUCAAAUGGGCAAGACGUUUGAAUUCUUAGCCAGCUUUACCUCAGGUUCUGCACUGGCAAGGUUUUUCUUGCCCAGACAUGCUAGCCAAUAUGGCUCGCCGAGGCGAACAAGGUUUUGCUUGCCUAGACAAGCUAGGCGAGGCUAGCUGGCCGAGAGACCAAGCAGCCUCCUAAAAUUACAACUAGGGCCUUGUUUAGUUUCACCCAAAAUUCAAAAACUUUUUAAGAUUCCGUCACAUCGAAUCGCGCGGCACAUGCAUGAAACAUUAAAUAUAGAUAAAAAAACUAAUUACAUAGUCUGUCUGUAAUUUGUGAAAUGAAUCUUUUGAGCCUAGUUAGUCCAUGGUUGGACAAUAUCAAAUACGUUUGGCUGAUAAGCCAUGGUAGAAAGUACUGUUGGCUGAUUUAUUGUGUGAGAAAAACACUGUUGAUGGCUGACAGAUUCGACUGAUAAGCUGAAGUGAACAAUAGUGAGGGAACUAAACAAGGCCGGAAACAUGCUAGUUCAUUGUGACGUACAAUUUGUUGUAUUGUAUUUAUGCGAAUAAUAAUGUGCUAAAUAUUUUUCUGGAUCCAAUUGGGUUUGGCCCAACCUUAAAUAAAAAUCUAAGAGCCAUAAUAAAUGGUAGUGCAAUAAAGGAUUGAUCUCAUAUGCAAUAACUUAAAUGGGUGGCGUUUUGUGCAUGUUGUGAUCUUAAGAAAGUAUAAGGGACCGUGACUUAAAAAAAAAUUUCAGACGAAGAUAGAUUGGCUCUGAGAGACGCGAGCGCGACUCAUCGUCGGGGAACAGGGGUCACGGUGAUGGGUUAUUUGGUCAUGGGCAUUUUGUCAUCCUCCUUCAAAAUUACUGACAUGGUCAAACAAGUCAACUAACAGAAGGAUGGAGGAAAUGGAUGGUAAUGCUAUUUAGGGGAGGCAAUUUCAGUUCGGUUCUAGACAAGAAACUUUGAUUCCGGGAGUAUCUUAGAAGAAAGAUUCAUUUUUUACGCUGCUGCAUGAUCGGGCAUUAGCACCGGUCGGAAAGGGCCUGUUGCCCCGGUUCCCGAGCCGGUGCUGCCCUUCCGGGACUAAAGGCCCACCCUUUAGUCCCGGUUCGGGCAACCGGGGCUAAAGGGCCCCCCCCGCCCUUUAACACCGGUUGGUAAUACCAACCGGUGUUAAAGGGUCCUGCCAGGGCUGCCAUGUUGCAGGACCCUUUAACACCAGUUGGUAGGGUUUUUUUUUCUUUUUUUUGUUUCACUUCUUCGGUACUGUUUAUUGUUUAUAUAUAAUAUAUAAUAAUAGGUUUUUCAAUACAUGUUUUUCUGAUACAAUAAUAUAUUUAUAUUACACGCAUAUUAAGCAUAUAUAAAUGAAAAUUAUAGGCUUAGCUUAAUAAUUAAGCUUUGCCUAUAAUAAAAUGAAUAGACCACAUCAAAAAUUAAAUAGAUAUGUAAAAAGCUUUAUAUAUAUAGUUUUAUAUGUACAAAAUUCGUAACACAUAUAUACAUAGAGUUUUUUCUCCCAAUGUCUACAAACGAUACAAAUGAUCAUCGUUGUUUGGAAUAAGAGUUUCGUUGCUGUUGAAGUGAAACUCGCCGUUUGGAUUGAUCACUUGGUCGCGGAGAAAUCCUGCUAUCGUCUCUUGGAUAGCUUUGAUUCGGUCUUGUUGUAGGACCUUUUCCCUCAGCCAUUCCGUCUUUAAUUUGAAAUAAAUUAAAAAGGUAUUAGUUAUCUAAGUUGUUCAAUAUAAUUCAGGAGAUAAUGAAAAGAGACAUGUAACGUACUCUGAGCGUCUCUAUGGGUGUUUGAUUGACUUGUGCCAUCAUGAAUUUACACACGUAAUAUGCACAUAGAUUGUUCCCCCCUUCUUGUCUUAAACACCACUGUACGAUAUAUAUAUAUAUAAAUAUUCACGACCACGACAAUAAAAAGGCUAAAAGUUAGCGAAAGUUUGUUAGCUAGUAGAACUUACUUGUGGAUGUAUUAUGUUAAGCGGCGCUUUACAUCCACUGAGAUGUUCACGGUCAAUGAAUCUUUCCCAAACCCUAUACACAGCCAUUGUGGAUCGUGAACUAAUAAUUACAGAGUCAUAUUAUGAUAUUUUUGUAGCUGAGAUCGACAUUACGUACCUUUGAAUAAUGUUUACCAUUUGUUGAUAAUUUUCUUGUGGUUUUCUCAUUGAGUCAAAGAUUAUCAACCGGUUCUUGGGAAUUUCAAUGACCAUGAGUAUCCAGUGAAAGCUGUUUACACACACAUAUAUAUAGUCAGUCCUAUAAUGUAAAAUAAAAUAUGCAUGCACUUAAUAACUAUAUAACUAACUCGAAGUUGAAGGGGAAGAGUAUUUUUUGUUUUUCUUUUUGGUUUACAAAGAACCUCAUAAGAUUGGUGCAGACUUCUGUCUCAUGAUCUGCUGUCCACACCUGCGGAGCCUUGAAAACAAUAUAAGGGUUAACGAACCCAAUACUAUUGUCAUUUUUCAUUCUGAGCUCUCUCAUUUGGUGCCUGCAUAUAUACAUACAAAUCCUAAGUGUGUAAGGAUUAUAUACAUGUAAUUAAAGAAGUUAGAAGUAUAAUAAAAAGAAAAAAAUACUUACAGACAAAAGCAGCUGACAAGAGAUUUGUCAAGAGCGUCGAGGUGGCAUAAUUGGUGCAAUUCUUCGAACUGCACGUAUAUGAGGUCAUCUCCACGGAAGUAGUGAUGUUGUCUAAUACGAACAGAAAUCCAAUUAUCUUCCCUUUUAGACGCCUCAAUGCACCAUUUGUUUAUUGCAAACAUUUGUGUGCCGAGCUCGUGUAAACGCUUAGGGUCGAAUAGACUCCUGCCCGGUUCAUAUCUUGCCCUCCAUUGAUUAACUACCUCGGCUUUUUCAAAUGUUUGACAUCCAAGAAUGGCGGCAAUUUCUUCCAUAUUUAAACCGCUCUGUCCAAAGUAACGCUCAAGCGAGUCUAGCUCAGACAACACUAAGGAUUUUUUUGGCAUCAAGUCUUCAUUUGAGCCGUAUUGAUUUGGCACAAUCAAAGGGGGCACCGGUUUUGAUACUUCUCCGAGCUGUGGGACCCCCUUUCCUACUCUCUUCUUAGUAGGCUGUGAAGACUUGACCAGAGACCGCUCAUAGUCCGAAAGUGCUGGCUUUUUCUGAGCUUCGCGUUGCUUCUUUUGAUGGUCCGCCACCUUCUGCCUCAGUUCCGAUGGCUUCACAUAAAAGUACGGCUUUUCUGGGUUAAGCCGUUUUUCCCUAUCCUCCUUUAUUUUAUCAAAAAAUUGUUGGACCUCAGCUUUGGAUGUAGCAAUUACCUCCUCUUCACUCUUUUCGUAAGGUAAUUUUUCUGGCGUCUUAGCUCUCUUUGCUGAGGCAGCCUUCUUUGGAGGUAGGACCGAUGACUUCGGUCCUUCUUGGGCGGACCGCUUCUUACUACCUCGCUUUGGAGGCGAGGGGACCGACCGUGCACUCUAUGGAGAGGGCGGUGCAGGCGGUGGAGGUGGUGGGACAACUAAUGGCCUUAGGUAGACAUCUAUGUCAUUGCCAGGUUGCUUCGGUCCUUGGAUAAGCACCGGCAUCAUAAUAAACUUCCGCUUCAUGCAUAGCCAUGAAGGAAGGUUGUAGAUACAUAGAGUAACUGGCCAAGUGCUGUGACUACUGCUCUGCUCACCGAAAGGAUUCAUACCAUCUGUACUUAAGGCGAACCGCAAGUUUCUAGCAUCAUUUGCAAAAUCUGGGAAUUCUCUGUCUAUCGCUCUCCACUGGGAUCCAUCGGCAGGGUGUCUCAGCAUAUUGUCUAUCUUACGGUCUUCUUUAUGCCACCGCAACAACUUUGCAUUGUCCUUAUUUCUGAACAGACGUUUUAAUCGUGGUAUUAUAGGAGCAUACCACAUAACCUUGGCUGGAAUUUUCUUCCUAUGACGUUCUUCACCCUCAACAUCGCCAGGAUCAUCUCGUCUAAUCUUAUACCAUGAUGCCUUACAUACUGGACAUGCAUCCAAAUUCUCGUAUUCCUCCCCACGGUAGAGGAUGCAGUCAUUAGGACAUGCGUGUAUCUUCUGGAUUUCUAAUCCCAAAGGGCAGACAACCUGUUUUGCUUCAUACGUAGUGGUGGGCAAUUCGUUGCCUUUCGGAAGCAUCUUUUUUAUGAUCUUCAAUAACUGCCCAAAUGCCUUGUCAGAUGUACCAUUCUUUGCCUUCCAUUGCAGCAAUUCUAGUGUGGUACCCAGCUUUUUUUGCCCCUCUUCAGCAGUGGGAUAUAGCGAUUUCCUGUGGUCCUCUAGCAUGCGCUCGAACUUGGCUUUCUCUUUAUCACUUUCACAUUCUCUUUGUGCAUCACGGAUGGCAUCACCAAAAGCAUCAUCGCCCCGAUCAUCUUCUGCCGCCACCUCUUCUUCAUUAUCUCCCCCCAUUGCAACAUCAUUGAAGCCACCGUACUGAGCAAUAAUAUUGGCAUGGUCCAAUUCUUCUUCUUCUUCUUCUUCACCUUCAUCCAUUAUAAUCCCGCUUUCUUCAUGUUUGGUCCAACAAAUAUAGUUUGGUACGAAACCAGACUUUAAUAAGUGUGAAUGAAGAGUUCUUGAGUUAGAAUAUUCCGUCAAAUUCUUGCACACGGCACAUGGACAGCACAUGAAACCGUCCCUCUUAUUUGACUCGGUCACACUUAAGAAAUAGUGCACGCCAUUAAUGAACUCUUCGGAGCGCCGAUCGACAUUAUACAUCCAAUUACGUGUUACCAUCUGCAUUAAAGAUAACAUAUAUAUUAUGAAAACCAUGCACACAUAUAGUUUCUCAUCUUAUUGCACAACAUGUCUAAGAUACAUAGUUGAUUAAUUUAGGAAAGCUUGGCUACAACAAAUACAAUCGCAACUAGCAUUAAAAAACAAAACUAAAAUGCACUUAAGCAACAUAAUUAGUUCGCGUCCGAUCCCAACUAUAAUAGAUAGAUCAUUCGCUUGAUCAACAUCAUUGAACUCAUUUCGUCGGCUCACUGCCUCACCACCUUCAGCCUCAACCACCUGUGCAAAAGAUUUCUUAAUGUGUUCAAUGUAUUCUUCCUCUCAGUACCAACCUGUACAUCCGCCGGUACCGUCCCACUGAAAUUAAAAGAGAGAAUCAAAAGUUUAAUUAAUAUCAUUUAAAAAAAUAUGCACAUAUAUAAGCAAAUGUCUGGAAAUAACUCACAUUACGAUCUAGACACUUGUAGAAUAUACGACCCUUGUUUACUCCCUCUUUCGACACUUUGUACUCCAUCAAAAUCUUCUGCCCACACUUGCCACAAGUAAUGAGAGGGAGUUCCGGACGGUAUCGCUUUUGAACCCGUUGAGAGACCGAAGACCCGGUCACGGUUGCCAUCUACUAUCCAUACUCAAUUUUUAAACAAUUAUAAAUUCCACAUUUACUAGUAAACAUGUAUGAUACAAUGGACAUUAUAUGUAGUAAUAAAAAUAAAUCAAGUGAUAUUAACAAACCAAUUAAUUUGAACUAUCCUACUUUCUAUGAUCAUAAAAAUAUACUAUAAUUCAUUCUUGCAAAAUACAUUAAAACUAGGUCAACCAUGAAAUAUGAUAUAUAUAUAUAUAUAUAUGGAUACUAAUUCAUGUGAAUGAUUUAAAAUAACAAAGUGGAUUUGAGCUAAAAAAUGAUGGGAACAUCACAAGCCAAAAACAACAUGAAAAAGACAAGAAAGGCUGAAGUUAGUCACCUCCAAGCACGAAGAGACGAUGACGGAGUCGAAGAAGAUCAACGAUGGGCGUUGGAGAUGAAGAACAAAUGAAGAACAAGCAAGAAGAAGCUCCAAGAACAACAAUGGUGCUCUCGGUUUCAAAUAGGCAGAGGGGAGGAGGGAGCCGGCCUAUAAACCGGACCUUUAGCACCGGUUCAGGGCAAAAACCGGUGCUAAAGGGUUACCUUUUAGCACCGGUUUGUAACACAAACCGGUGCUAAAGGGUUUGCCUCGGCCCGUGGCUCUGGCCGGUGCUAAAGGGGUCUUUAACCCCGGGCCGCAAAAAGGCCGAGGUUUUUGGCCAUUUUGAGCAUCGACCAAUGCCUCAUUCUGUAAUUAAGUGAUAUAUAUAAUUCUCUCAACCGAUAUCCAUGUCAGUGAAAGCCAAUUUACCGGCACGGACGAGCCGGCGUGUCGACCAGCUGGACCACGUGUAUAGAAUGUUGCACGCAUUGACGGACACAUGUUCCAAAAUAUCCAGCUGUUUGAUCGAAUUUCACACAUUCAGCAAGAUUCUAGCGUUGGCUAGAAAUCGUAUUGACUAUUGACUAAUACAUUGGUAUGUUUGGUUGCUAAUUACAAUAUGAUCUUAUCCAAUUUCUUUAAGCAUGACAGAGCAGCGGCUCUUAGGAACACUUCCAAAUACACAUGUGGUCACAAAUAAUGGUCGGCCGGCGAGAAAGUCUCCUAGAAACUAUAUAUAAUUUCUAUAUUUAUUAAUUUUUAUAGAUAAUAUAUAAAAAAUUUAUGGUUUCGAUGAAUAGUUUCAAUAGAAUAAUUUUUUAUCCAAUCACAUUUAUUAUAUCUCCAUUUUCAACCAAUCAUAUCACUUAAUGUAUUGUAUGUUGUGUAGACAUGGUUUCUAAUUUAGGUCAGUCUCAACUCUCAAUGCAUAGUUUCAUGGUACAGUUACUAAGACUAUAAACUAGGUAAGCGAGCCAUAUGAGUUUCAUGGGGAUGAAACUCCUCUCUCAUCUGAUGAAACUACUUCUUCAUUUAAUGACUCUGCCAAGUUAGCAAUUUUACUUAUGUGGCACCCUAUUUAAUGCACAUGACACUCUCAUGAACACAUGCAUUGAGACUAGCCUUAGACCUAGUUUCUAUGAUUUUUGCUCUUUCUUCAAUAACUAUCUUGUCACAUCAGUAAAAUACUUAGGCUAGUCUCAGUGGCUUGUUUUAAUGCACUGUUUCCAAAACAAAUCCGCUGACAAGGCAUCAAUGAAACGAAUAAUGAAACAACCUCCACAAUGCAUGAGUUUCAUCUUGAUGUUUCCUAGGCUAGGCAAAUCAUUUAAUUACUGCAAAAUGAUUGGAUCACAUGCAAGAUGGUGAAACGAUUUAGCCCUAAGUGGGGAUUUCAUCCAAUUUCACCGCGUGGGAAACAACGACCGCGGGUGAAACUACUUCCUUCUCUCUCCUCUUUAUUUCAUGCAAAAAGUGCAAUUUUACUGACACGACGCUCUAAUAAAUGUGCAUGACAUCCUGGUGAAACCUCCACUCAAACUGGCCUUAGAUGACACUACAAUUAAUAUCAUUAUGUAACCAUGGCUUUACUGUGCACGCCGUGCAAUACCAAGCAUAGAUACGGUCAGCACACGCAGCUUGACCAUAUAGCUAGCUAGGUCGCUCGUGGCUUCGUGUUAGGUAGCUCAAUAACACCUACAAAUAGGAGGGUUGGCCGCUGGAAACAAUGGCCACGGCAACAACUGCAGGUCAACCAAUCAACAUAUACGGCCGCGCGCCCUCGAUCACAUGGCCAUGACGAUGGCGACCAGAUCAGUAACCGGAACGGCGGUGCUGUGCUUUCUUGUGGCCUCGCUCCUCCUGGCCGCCUCCUCCUCCGUUAUUGCUGCAACUGCAACGACUGAAGCAGCAGCGGCCUACGGUAGGUAGUCGCGGUGUUCAUACAGUCCCUCAUGCUUUCACCGAACGAACACAGCUACGUACGCUGCUGCAUCUAUCUAUAUAUUCUUAUAUAUGAUCUGAAUAUAUCUGUCGUCGACCGUGCCCUGGUGCAGGUGCAGGUGCAGGCAGGAAGAUGAAGCAGACAGCAGCUGCGGGAGCUGUGGCAACGAAGCAGGAUGACUACGGCUACCCUGGAACUAAUGAAUUACCACCGGGAUACCCGACGGCGCCUGGAAUGAAUUAGUAGUUGCCUCUCUUGAUCUGGCAGCUAGCUACCUGCCGCGGUUGGUCGGUGGAGAACCCUGCAGGCUGCAGCUAUAUAUAUAUAUAUACUAUACAAUACAAUACAUCAUGCGCAUGAUGCAGAAUUACCAUCUCGCUGAAUACAGAUACAGAAAUUAGAUUGCUUUUGAUACAAUCCAACCUCAUGAGUCAUGUCUCGCGCGCUAAGUAAUUGGCAGCUACGUACGCGAGCCUGCCUGUUACACUGUGCUAUACAGCAACUGUACGUAUGCUAUAAGCUGUAUUUUGUUUGAAAUAAAGACCAGCUUUGGGGCACCGGGCAUGCACCAAUACUCUCAAUCUUCUUAAACGACUAUCCUUGUCUUUUCGUGAAAUAUAAUCCUGGAAGUUUAUUAUUAGGCCAC
RNAcentral lists this long non-coding RNA (27652 nucleotides) under Sorghum bicolor (sorghum). Its description in RNAcentral is "long non-coding RNA (SBIC_LNC009203)". Lineage: Eukaryota; Viridiplantae; Streptophyta; Magnoliopsida; Poales; Poaceae. The record is from RNAcentral.